UACACCAGUGCAUCCUUCGCAGAAGUCUUUUACUGACCGCCACGCCCCAUCGUUGAAUAUCAGCUAAACGCUACGACUUAGCCUGUAAAAAGCCCAAGUCCGUCUCUACAUCUGGCACAUUUGAACGGGAUAUCAGAAAAACUGUUUAAGUGGACAGACAACCUGCUUAAUAAAGCACAGGUCAGAAAAUGACCACCUCUUUACAGGAAAGAGGCAUACUGCCAAGAAGGCCUAGGGGCUCUUCCUGUCACAUUGCAUGGGAGACUCUGCAGUCAUAAGGAUGAAGGGAUUGGAGGGCCAAUUAACACACACACACGUGUCCAAAAAGUGGGACAAUUUGAAGAGGAAAUAUAAGCUGAGAUUUUUUAUGUAAUAUGACCGCAGUGCAUCCAUUAGCAUUUGUAAUGCUGUAUUGUUGGACAUAAUACUUGUGGAGAAUAUGAAUCUUUUCAAGCAUUGUCUGACCCUUAUAUAGGUCUGGUCCCUGGCAUUCUUAAUUAUCUUAAUGGGUUGGCAGAACCCAGCAGCAACGAACACACCAUUUGAUGAAGCAGCUGAAUUGCUGAAAGGCAGUGAUUGAAUUGAAAACACCUACUCAUCACACUGACAUAUUAAAUCAUCAGGCAAGGCAAAAUACUUCUUGUCUUCUUGUUCUUUAAUUGCCACUGACAAGCAGUUAGUCUAUCAGUGUGGCAAAUUACGGCAAGUAACUCCAAUGUUAAAAACGUCAUGAAGGCAGGGACUGGGCUGUGUUGGUGUGAAUAUAAUAUAAUCCAAUCCAAUCCAUUUUAUUUAUACAGCACAUUUAAAAAACUAUGGUUUACAAAGUGCUGGACAACCAAUAAAACCUAAAAACACAUAGAACACAUAAAACAUAAGACCACACAGUUAACCUGGUUUUUGGAGCGACCAGCUGAAGUUGAUCAGUAGACCUAAGUGACCGUGAGGGGGUGUAAACUUGUAAGAGGUCUGAGCUGUAGCGAGGUACCAACCCCAUUCAGUUAACAGCUGGCUGCUGGCUUCUUUUUUUAACAAAUGGUUUUCAUUAUUACACUACAAAGGUAGGCUACUGAGGAGUAAAGUAUCACUUUUAUAGCUUUCCUGUUUUUGCUCAAGUUAUAUUUUUAAUAGCUAUGAAAAUUAAUUUUUUUCUUGAAAGCAUAACAGUUUUAGUUUUUGCAAACUCAAUUGUUCAUCGCCCGGCUGACGGUGAGUGUCCUGUUUAUUUCUCUUUUUGCUUGUGAUUCUG
This is a long non-coding RNA of Micropterus dolomieu (smallmouth bass), 1249 nucleotides long. RefSeq lists it as uncharacterized. Lineage: Eukaryota; Metazoa; Chordata; Actinopteri; Centrarchiformes; Centrarchidae. The transcript has 4 exons. The record is from RefSeq and is a predicted model, not a curated record.